Long non-coding RNA from Syngnathus acus (greater pipefish), 351 nucleotides. RefSeq lists it as uncharacterized. Lineage: Eukaryota; Metazoa; Chordata; Actinopteri; Syngnathiformes; Syngnathidae. The transcript is spliced from 3 exons. The record is from RefSeq and is a predicted model, not a curated record.
CUCCAAAUGGACCCAAAAUAGUGCCGUUCGUUUGUGCUUCGUUUGUGCUGGUUUGUGCUGCAAAAAGUUUCGUUUGUGCUGCUACGGUUUUGCAGAUAUUACACAUUUAAUUUAUAGCGAUGACGUCACUGUAUUUCGUCGCGAAUUUCAAGCUCCUGGAAUGCUCCUGAUGCAGGACGAAUACAAGGUCAUUAUAGAUCUCCCAGGCAUAUGCAGUCCUCCUGCAGUAUGCCACAUAAUGCCCAAGAGAAUCCUGGCUCCAGACUGGAGGGAAAUUCAAGCAAGGCAACUUCCUUGCAACUGCUACCAAGGUCAGUGUCAAUCCACACAAACUCUCCCAGAUUGUAGCUG